GUAUUCCUUCAGUUCGGCUGGACCGGUGACAGUUGCUGCAUGGCUGUCGUCAGCUCGUGUCGUGUGAUGUUGGGUUAAGUCCCGCUACGAGCGCUACCCUCGCCAUUAGUUGCCAGCAUUUAGUUGGGCACUCUUAUGGGACUGCCGGUGAUAAGCCGGAGGAAGGUGGGGAUGACGUCAAGUCCUCAUGGCCCUUAUGGGCUGGGCUACACACGUGUUACAAUGGCGGCGACAGAGGGUUGCGAGCUCGCGAGGGCAAGCUAAUCCCCAUAAAGCCGUCUCAGUUCGGAUUGUUCUCUGCAACUCGAGAGCAUGAAGGUGGAAUCGCUAGUAAUCGCAGAUCAGCAUGCUGCGGUGAAUACGUUCCCGGGCCUUGUACACACCGCCCGUCACACCAUGGGAGUUGGUUCUACCCGAUAGCUGGUGCGCUAACCUUUUAGGAGGCAGCCAACCACGGUAGGAUUAGCGACUGGGGUGAAGUCGUUACAAGGUAACCAAGGGCGAUUCCAGCGCACUGCGGCCG
This 523-nucleotide ribosomal RNA is filed under the name uncultured bacterium. RNAcentral's name for it is "bacterial SSU rRNA". It matches the Rfam family "Bacterial small subunit ribosomal RNA", at positions 1007 to 1533 of the family's 1533-position model. The record is from RNAcentral.